CUAUCCCAGAAGCCAGAACAGCAAGAGGGAUUGCUGCUUUCACUGCACAGCGAUCCCUCUUACUGUUCUGGCUUCUGAGAUUC
This 83-nucleotide microRNA precursor is filed under the name Podarcis lilfordi (Lilford's wall lizard). Lineage: Eukaryota; Metazoa; Chordata; Lepidosauria; Squamata; Lacertidae. The record is from RNAcentral.